RNAcentral lists this ribosomal RNA (497 nucleotides) under uncultured bacterium. Its description in RNAcentral is "partial 16S ribosomal RNA". It matches the Rfam family "Bacterial small subunit ribosomal RNA", at positions 28 to 507 of the family's 1533-position model. The record is from RNAcentral.
GAUGAACGCUGGCGGCGUGCCUAAUACAUGCAAGUCGAGCGAACGGACGAGAAGCUUGCUUCUCUGAUGUUAGCGGCGGACGGGUGAGUAACACGUGGAUAACCUACCUAUAAGACUGGGAUAACUUCGGGAAACCGGAGCUAAUACCGGAUAAUAUUUUGAACCGCAUGGUUCAAAAGUAAAAGACGGUCUUGCUGUCACUUAUAGAUGGAUCCGCGCUGCAUUAGCUAGUUGGUAAGGUAACGGCUUACCAAGGCAACGAUGCAUAGCCGACCUGAGAGGGUGAUCGGCGACACUGGAACUGAGACACGGUCAAGACGCCUACGGGAGGCAGCAGUAGGGAAUCUGCCGCAAUAGGCGAAAGCCUGACGGAGCAACGCCGCGUGAGUGAUGAAGGUCUUCGGAUCGUAAAACUCUGUUAUUAGGGAAGAACAUAUGUGUAAGUAACUGUGCACAGCUUGACGGUACCUAAUCAGAAAGCCACGGCUAACUACGUG